Molecule: ribosomal RNA, 700 nt
Filed under: uncultured Sistotrema
Lineage: Eukaryota; Fungi; Basidiomycota; Agaricomycetes; Corticiales; Corticiaceae
Description: eukaryotic LSU rRNA
Rfam family: 5.8S ribosomal RNA (bases 219-372)
Source: RNAcentral
AAGUAAAAGUCGUAACAAGGUUUCCGUAGGUGAACCUGCGGANGGAUCAUUAAUGAAUUAAAGGGAGUUGAUGCUGGCAGUCUGACUGCAUGUGCUCACUCCCCUAAUCCCAUUUACACCUGUGCACUUAACUUUGGAGGGAGGGUAGAACCUGCCUUCGAAUUAACAAACUCGUCUAAAUAAUGAAUGUUUAUCUGCCGCAAGGCAAAAUUAAUUACAACUUUUAACAACGGAUCUCUUGGCUCUCGCAUCGAUGAAGAACGCAGCGAAAUGCGAUAAGUAAUGUGAAUUGCAGAAUUCAGUGAAUCAUCGAAUCUUUGAACGCACCUUGCGCUCCCUGGUAUUCUGGGGAGCACGCCUGUUCGAGUGUCAUGAAACUCUCAAACAAGAUAGAUUUGUUUCUAUCUCCGUUUGGAUUUGGACUCUGCUGCGUCAAUGCGGCUGGUCUUAAAUAUAUUAGCUGAUCCUAGUGAAGGUUUGGUUCUACUCAGCAUGAUAAUUAUNUGAUGUUGAGGACAGUCUCAGGACUGGCCAGGCUCUCUCUGGAUUGCUUCCAAUCGUCUUUGGACAAUCAUUCAAUAUCUGACCUCGAAUCAGGUGGGACUACCCGCUGAACUUAAGCAUAUCAAUAAGCGGAGGAAAAGAAACUAACAAGGAUUCCCCUAGUAACGGCGAGUGAAGCGGGAGAGCUCAAAUUUAA